UGUAUCCUUGUCAAAUUUAGUAUGUCCCUUAUGGUGGUCUAUACUGGCCAGAUGUCUGCUAUGGAAAAGUACUUCACGAGGCCCCACAUCUCUCAAAUGAAAUUGUGGUACUGACACUU
Molecule: small nucleolar RNA, 119 nt
Organism: Polyodon spathula (Mississippi paddlefish)
Lineage: Eukaryota; Metazoa; Chordata; Actinopteri; Acipenseriformes; Polyodontidae
Product: small nucleolar RNA SNORA5
Exons: 1
Source: RefSeq, a predicted model, not a curated record